UACGUAGGUGGCAAGCGUUGUCCGGAUUUACUGGGCGUAAAGGGCUUGUAGGCGGUCCGUUAAGUCCGAUGUGAAAUCUCCCGGCUCAACUGGGAGAGGUCAUUGGAUACUGGCGGACUAGAGGGGGGUAGAGGAAAGCAGAAUUCCUGGUGUAGCGGUGAAAUGCGUAGAUAUCAGGAGGAAUACCAGUGGCGAAGGCGGCUUUCUGGGCCUACCCUGACGCUGAGGAGCGAAAGCGUGGGGAGCAAACCGG
RNAcentral lists this ribosomal RNA (253 nucleotides) under uncultured bacterium. RNAcentral's name for it is "partial 16S ribosomal RNA". It matches the Rfam family "Bacterial small subunit ribosomal RNA", at positions 524 to 776 of the family's 1533-position model. The record is from RNAcentral.